UACGAAGGGGGCUAGCGUUGCUCGGAAUUACUGGGCGUAAAGCGCACGUAGGCGGAUUGUUAAGUCGGGGGUGAAAUCCUGGAGCUCAACUCCAGAACUGCCUUCGAUACUGGCGAUCUCGAGUUCGGGAGAGGUAAGUGGAAUUCCGAGUGUAGAGGUGAAAUUCGUAGAUAUUCGGAAGAACACCAGUGGCGAAGGCGACUUACUGGACACAUAUUGACGCUGAGGUGCGAAAGCGUGGGGAGCAAACAGG
RNAcentral lists this ribosomal RNA (253 nucleotides) under uncultured bacterium. Its description in RNAcentral is "partial 16S ribosomal RNA". It matches the Rfam family "Bacterial small subunit ribosomal RNA", at positions 524 to 776 of the family's 1533-position model. The record is from RNAcentral.